GAUGAACGCUAGCUACAGGCUUAACACAUGCAAGUCGAGGGGAAACGAUAGAGAAAGCUUGCUUUUUCUAGGCGUCGACCGGCGCACGGGUGAGUAACGCGUAUCCAACCUGCCCACCACUUGGGGAUAACCUUGCGAAAGUAAGACUAAUACCCAAUGAUAUCUCUAGAAGACAUCUGAAGGAGAUUAAAGAUUUAUCGGUGAUGGAUGGGGAUGCGUCUGAUUAGCUUGUUGGCGGGGUAACGGCCCACCAAAGCUACGAUCAGUAGGGGUUCUGAGAGGAAGGUCCCCCACAUUGGAACUGAGACACGGUCCAAACUCCUACGGGAGGCAGCAGUGAGGAAUAUUGGUCAAUGGACGAGAGUCUGAACCAGCCAAGUAGCGUGCAGGAUGACGGCCCUAUGGGUUGUAAACUGCUUUAUAAGGGAAUAAAGUGAGCCUCGUGAGGCUUUUUGCAUGUACCUUAUGAAUAAGGACCGGCUAAUUCCGUG
Molecule: ribosomal RNA, 491 nt
Filed under: uncultured bacterium
Lineage: Bacteria
Description: bacterial SSU rRNA
Rfam family: Bacterial small subunit ribosomal RNA
Source: RNAcentral